This 970-nucleotide long non-coding RNA is filed under the name Salmo salar (Atlantic salmon). Its description in RNAcentral is "lncRNA (ENSSSAG00000098728.1, ENSSSAG00000114458.1)". Lineage: Eukaryota; Metazoa; Chordata; Actinopteri; Salmoniformes; Salmonidae. The record is from RNAcentral.
CUCCUUUGUAGAAGUCCGUAACGUGAAAUAAAUAAACGUCCCAAGGUUAAUGCUGUAGAUAUUGUUAUAAGGGGAUGUGAGACUAUCGAAACACGUAACUUUCAGAGUUUUAUUGUUGUUAUUAAUAUAGUUACAGAGUGCUAAAAGUGUUGCUAGCUAGCAUGACUUUCUUUCUGUGAUGCAAACGGCUAGCUGAGCUGCCGACUAGUGAUGGUGUUGCAUUAUGGGGGAUGUAGUUUUUGCCCUCUAAGGCGAUUUUACGUUGUAACUUUUUUGUGUUGCAGUGGUUUUGUACAUGAGUUGUUGUAUUUUGCUACUAUCAACACUGAAAGCACCUAGCAAUGUAUUGGGGAUGUGAGACAGGAUAUGUGUUUUACCUUUCUUCAUGCUCCUGUGUAGAACAACUUGUCAGGUGGUGCAUUGGAGACUGAUGUGUUCCUGUCCUGUCUUUUCAUAAUACUAUUGCAGAUCUGCCAACCAGCCUAACCCACAGCUAGAGUGGGACACUGUCCUUUUUCCUGUGAGGACAAUCUGACAAAUACUGGCACUAUUCACAGAGCAACAGAUGGCAAAUGGAAUGCGGAGUUUGUAUGGAUGAAAGGACACGAAGAGUCUAGGACACAGAGAGACAGACGGACGGACGGGAGGACGGCCGGGUGUGCAGACAGCCAGACAGACUCAGGAUAUCUUCUGCUCAAAGUCUCUCAGACUCAAACAAAGUUAUUUGUCCUGGGGCGGACCUCAGAUAAAAAUGACAAAUUAAUGUAAAGUUUUAACAAACAUGUUUUAACUAGAUUUACAGCACUUUCACUCAGUAAUGGUUUUUCUAUAGACUGGCAUGAACACACCAGUACUACUGUUUCUCUAGCUUUGCUGUUAAGUAGAUUUUCCUCACACUCCUAUGUGUGUGUGUGUGUGUGUGUGUGUGUGUGUGUGUGUGUGUGUGUGUGUGUGUGUGUGUGUGUGUGUG